CUACGGGGGGCUGCAGUGAGGAAUAUUGCACAAUGGGGGGAACCCUGAUGCAGCAACGCCGCGUGGAGGAUGACGCAUUUCGGUGUGUAAACUCCUUUUAUAUGUCAAGAAAAUGACGGUAGCAUAUGAAUAAGCACCUGCUAACUCCGUGCCAGCAGCCGCGGUAAUACGGAGGGUGCAAGCGUUACUCGGAAUCACUGGGCGUAAAGGACGCGUAGGCGGGUUGGAAAGUCAGGUGUGAAAUCCUACAGCUUAACUGUAGAACUGCGCUUGAAACUUCUAAUCUAGAGUAUGGGAGGGGGAGAUGGAAUUAGUGGUGUAGGGGUAAAAUCCGUAGAUAUCACUAGGAAUACCUAAAGCGAAGGCGAUCUCCUGGAACAUUACUGACGCUAAGGCGUGAAAGCGUGGGGAGCAAACAGGAUUAGAUACCCUCGUAGUC
RNAcentral lists this ribosomal RNA (439 nucleotides) under uncultured bacterium. Its description in RNAcentral is "partial 16S ribosomal RNA". It matches the Rfam family "Bacterial small subunit ribosomal RNA", at positions 339 to 795 of the family's 1533-position model. The record is from RNAcentral.